GUUACGUCACUGCUCACGUGUAAAAUGGGAACCGUGCUGUACACACUGAGAGCUUGUUUUGAAAACUGGAGAGAAAUCACGUCAAGUCCAAGGCUCCAAGGAGGCCCUCGGGAAGAGCAAGCGGCAGCUAUUUUUUAUCAGCUUUCUGACACACCUCCGCAGCACAUCAGACACCCAAGACAAGCAGAGACUGGGCCUCAGGAGUCGGAGAAGGUGACUGACUCGGUGAAGGUGAGGAACCCGAGCCCCUUCAGAGAGGAGUGCAAGUCGUGGGUGCCGAAGAAGCCGGUGGGCUGCGCGGCGCCCUGGGCUCGUCUCCGCAGCCUUUGCCCCGGGAGAAGAGGGCAGAAAGCAGCAUUAAGACCCCGGCUCACACAGCCCAAACGCCGGGAGAGUCUUACGCUUAUCAGGGAAGGAUGUGUGUUAAAGUACAUUUGGAAACGCUGAGGCCACACCCCAUCGCCUCCCUCCUCAGUUCACUUUUUCUCUUUCCUAAGUCAGAAGUGGGCCAGCUGGUUUCCUGGAAGGAGUAAGGAGGCAAAUUCCCCCGUAAGCGGAGCUGUCAUCAGAGCCAGCCCCAGGCUGAAGCUGUAAGCUGUGAUCCUGGUGGCUGAAGAAUUCAGAGACAUGAGCCAGAGGGAGUGCCCACCCCAGCAGAGCCCUCAGGAUGGAGACCCAGAGUUUUCCGAGGGCAGACAGGAUUCUUAGCGGGGCUGUGCUCGGUCCCCAGGCACUUCUGAGAAAGCCCAGACC
This is a long non-coding RNA of Bos taurus (domestic cattle), 753 nucleotides long. NCBI's taxonomy places the organism in Eukaryota, Metazoa, Chordata, Mammalia, Artiodactyla, Bovidae. The record is from Ensembl.